RNAcentral lists this ribosomal RNA (460 nucleotides) under uncultured bacterium. RNAcentral describes it as "partial 16S ribosomal RNA". It matches the Rfam family "Bacterial small subunit ribosomal RNA", at positions 338 to 795 of the family's 1533-position model. The record is from RNAcentral.
CCUACGGGGGGCAGCAGUGAGGAAUAUUGGUCAAUGGGCGCAAGCCUGAACCAGCCACGUCGCGUGAAGGAAGACUGCCCUACGGGUUGUAAACUUCUUUUAUAAAGGCAUAAAGUGAGGCACGUGUGCCUUUUUGUAUGUACUUUAUGAAUAAGGAUCGGCUAACUCCGUGCCAGCAGCCGCGGUAAUACGGAGGAUCCGAGCGUUAUCCGGAUUUAUUGGGUUUAAAGGGAGCGUAGAUGGGUUGUUAAGUCAGUUGUGAAAGGUUGCGGCUCAACCGUAAAAUUGCAAUUGAUACUGGCAGUCUUGAGUACAGGUGAGGUAGGCGGAAUGCGUGGUGUAGCGGUGAAAUGCUUAGAUAUCACGAAGAACUCCGAUUGCGAAGGCAGCUUACUAAACUGUAACUGACAUUGAGGCUCGAAAGUGUGGGUAUCAAACAGGAUUAGAUACCCGUGUAGUC